RNAcentral lists this ribosomal RNA (354 nucleotides) under Triticum aestivum (bread wheat). RNAcentral's name for it is "partial small subunit ribosomal RNA". The record is from RNAcentral. Lineage: Eukaryota; Viridiplantae; Streptophyta; Magnoliopsida; Poales; Poaceae.
AUGACAACCGACUUGCAAGCUGCUUGUUUUACAAGACAAUUAACUCAGUUCGCAGAAUCAAACUGGGAUAUGAAACAAGGGUGGUUAAUUUUACAGAGCAACAGGGAAACCAACAGAACCACAUCGCUUAUAAUGAAUUACCCCUUGUUGGAUCACCUCCCAUGCCAUGCUUCACGACGGCCUCUUGGUCUUGGUUUCAGUGCAUCCUCUCAGCCGCUUGUUCUAGCACAAGUUUCAGGGCUUGUUCUGAACCCCUCCAAGCUUCUAAAACUCCUCAAAUUCAGCUUCCAAACGCAGCUUCUAACUCCACGUGGCGAUUUCAGAAACGUUCGGCACCGAAGUACUAGCUUCUAG